RNAcentral lists this ribosomal RNA (440 nucleotides) under uncultured bacterium. RNAcentral describes it as "partial 16S ribosomal RNA". It matches the Rfam family "Bacterial small subunit ribosomal RNA", at positions 338 to 795 of the family's 1533-position model. The record is from RNAcentral.
CCUACGGGCGGCAGCAGUGGGGAAUAUUGCACAAUGGGGGAAACCCUGAUGCAGCGACGCCGCGUGAGUGAAGAAGUAAUUCGUUAUGUAAAGCUCUAUCAGCAGGGAAGAAAAUGACGGUACCUGAGUAAGAAGCCCCGGCUAACUACGUGCCAGCAGCCGCGGUAAUACGUAGGGGGCAAGCGUUAUCCGGAUUUAUUGGGUGGAAAGGGAGCGUAGACGGCAGUGCAAGUCUGGAGGGAAAGGCGGGGGCUCAACCCCCGGACUGCUCUGGAAACUGUACGGCUGGAGUGCAGGAGAGGUAAGUGGAAUUCCUAGUGUAGCGGUGAAAUGCGUAGAUAUUAGGAGGAACACCAGUGGCGAAGGCGGCUUACUGGACUGUAACUGACGUUGAGGCUCGAAAGCGUGGGGAGCAAACAGGAUUAGAUACCCCAGUAGUC